Homo sapiens (human) is the source of this 692-nucleotide long non-coding RNA. Ensembl annotates it as miR222/221 cluster host gene. Its record names the gene MIR222HG. The record is from Ensembl. Lineage: Eukaryota; Metazoa; Chordata; Mammalia; Primates; Hominidae.
GGCAGAACCUGCGGGCGAGGUGGGUGGCUCGCCAGCCGGGACGAAGGGAAAUGAGGACCACCGCUCCGGGGCGCGAGUAGGCGCGUGGAGUCCGGGGGCUCAGCCGCCGCGCCUCUUCCUCCUGCAGCUGGAGACUGCAACAGCGGCGGGUGCACCGGCAGCAGCGACGACCCUGCGCGCAGGUGGCAGUGUAGAAGCCAGACCGGGAGCUUCCAGAAGUGGUUUCUGAAAGAGUCAAAUGUACAUGAGUAAGCAAGCACAGGAAUCUGAAAAACCACAGGUAUGUAGGACAAUUAAUCCACCUAUCUAGCUUUAUAAUUAUUGCAUUCCAGUAGUACUAACCCAUUUGCUCUUAUGUUCAAUAUUUUGACACUUAUAUAAAUUUCUAUGAAGUGAAAUGUAUUUUGAGGUAACCUCCGAGGAGAAGCAGGGUCUAAUCUAUUUCUGACAAUGUAUUUAAAUAAAAAUUCUGCAUGUCAUUAUAUUACAUGACUUUUUACUGUUCUAAAAGAGUUGUUUUUCCAUUGUGACCAUGUGGCUUUGCAUUUAACCAGUUGUUUGAUAUCUGCUUUUCAAAACACUUUUCCUGAAACUACAUAAAACUGCCAAUUGUUCUGAAUAAUUUCAUUUGAGAUAAUGUUAACAGAGUCACCUGCAUGAACCAAUAACAAUAUCAGCUUAAAAAUUUUUUU